ACUCCUACGGGAGGCAGCAGUGGGGAAUAUUGCACAAUGGGCGCAAGCCUGAUCCAGCCAUGCCGCGUGAGUGACGAAGGCCUUAGGGUUGUAAAGCUCUUUUAGCAGGGAAGAUAAUGACGGUACCUGCAGAAUAAGCCCCGGCUAACUCCGUGCCAGCAGCCGCGGUAAUACGGAGGGUGCGAGCGUUAAUCGGAAUUACUGGGCGUAAAGCGCGUGUAGGUGGCUUGUUAAGCCAGAUGUGAAAGCCCCGGGCUCAACCUGGGAACUGCAUUUGGAACUGGCAGGCUAGAGUUUUGUAGAGGGUGGUAGAAUUUCAGGUGUAGCGGUGAAAUGCGUAGAGAUCUGAAGGAAUACCGGUGGCGAAGGCGACCACCUGGCCAAUAACUGACACUGAGACGCGAAGGCGUGGGUAGCAAACGGGAUUAGAUACCCUGGUA
Molecule: ribosomal RNA, 440 nt
Filed under: uncultured bacterium
Lineage: Bacteria
Description: bacterial SSU rRNA
Rfam family: Bacterial small subunit ribosomal RNA
Source: RNAcentral